RNAcentral lists this ribosomal RNA (654 nucleotides) under Acinetobacter calcoaceticus. RNAcentral describes it as "bacterial SSU rRNA". It matches the Rfam family "Bacterial small subunit ribosomal RNA", at positions 848 to 1496 of the family's 1533-position model. The record is from RNAcentral. Lineage: Bacteria; Pseudomonadati; Pseudomonadota; Gammaproteobacteria; Moraxellales; Moraxellaceae.
GCAGCUAACGCGAUAAGUAGACCGCCUGGGGAGUACGGUCGCAAGACUAAAACUCAAAUGAAUUGACGGGGGCCCGCACAAGCGGUGGAGCAUGUGGUUUAAUUCGAUGCAACGCGAAGAACCUUACCUGGCCUUGACAUACGCUAUAUGAACUUUCCAGAGAUGGAUUGGUGCCUUCGGGAACUUACAUACAGGUGCUGCAUGGCGUGUCGUCAGCUCGUGUCGUGAGAUGUUGGGUUAAGUCCCGCAACGAGCGCAACCCUUUUCCUUAUUUGCCAGCGAGUAAUGUCGGGAACUUUAAGGAUACUGCCAGUGACAAACUGGAGGAAGGCGGGGACGACGUCAAGUCAUCAUGGCCCUUACGGCCAGGGCUACACACGUGCUACAAUGGUCGGUACAAAGGGUUGCUACCUAGCGAUAGGAUGCUAAUCUCAAAAAGCCGAUCGUAGUCCGGAUUGGAGUCUGCAACUCGACUCCAUGAAGUCGGAAUCGCUAGUAAUCGCGGAUCAGAAUGCCGCGGUGAAUACGUUCCCGGGCCUUGUACACACCGCCCGUCACACCAUGGGAGUUUGUUGCACCAGAAGUAGGUAGUCUAACCGCAAGGAGGACGCUUACCACGGUGUGGCCGAUGACUGGGGUGAAGUCGUAACAAGG